GCCCUGUAUGUGUGGCUUAAUGGUAUAAGCAGCUGGCAGCCUUGACAUCCCUAUAGCACCUAUAUGUUAUGGGGGCAGGUUCAAAUCCUGCCAGGGGCA
Molecule: non-coding RNA, 99 nt
Organism: Emmonsiellopsis sp. PD_33
Lineage: Eukaryota; Fungi; Ascomycota; Eurotiomycetes; Onygenales; Ajellomycetaceae
Source: the annotation of a GenBank genome assembly